UGAGUAACGCCGUAUCCAACCGUUCCCUAUAGUAGGGGAUAGCCCGUAGAAAUGCGGAUUAAUACCCUAUGUUGUAUUUCGAUGACAUCUGACGAAUACCAAAGGUUCACCGCUAUAGGAUGGGGAUGCGUCUGAUUAGGUAGUCGGCGGGUAACGGCCCACCGAGCCAACGAUCGAUAGGGGUUCUGAGAGGAAGGUCCCCCACAUUGGAACUGAGACACGGUCCAAACUCCUACGGGAGGCAGCAGUGAGGAAUAUUGGUCAAUGGGCGAGAGCCUGAACCAGCCAAGUAAGCGUGCAGGAUGACGGCCCUAUGGGUUGUAAACUGCUUUUAUGCGGGGAUAAAGUGGGGGACGUGUCCCCCUUUGUAGGUACCGCAUGAAUAAGGACCGGCUAAUUCCGUGCCAGCCGCGGC
Molecule: ribosomal RNA, 415 nt
Filed under: uncultured bacterium
Lineage: Bacteria
Description: bacterial SSU rRNA
Rfam family: Bacterial small subunit ribosomal RNA
Source: RNAcentral